This 688-nucleotide ribosomal RNA is filed under the name uncultured fungus. RNAcentral's name for it is "eukaryotic LSU rRNA". The stretch from base 253 to 406 matches the Rfam family "5.8S ribosomal RNA". Lineage: Eukaryota; Fungi. The record is from RNAcentral.
CUUGGUCAUUUAGAGGAGUAAAAGUCGUAACAAGGUUUCCGUAGGUGAACCUGCGGAAGGAUCAUUAUCGAAUCGUAGGCGAGGGUUGUCGCUGGCCUCUCGGGGCAUGUGCACGCCCGAGCCCUUGAAUCCCAAACACACAUGUGAACCCACCGUAGGCCUUCGGGCCUAUGUCUUAUCAUAUAAUCCGAAUGUCUAAUAGAAUGUAAACCCAUUUCGUUGCCUUGAAAACGUAACGAAAGAAAACUAUACAACUUUCAACAACGGAUCUCUUGGUUCUCGCAUCGAUGAAGAACGCAGCGAAAUGCGAUAAGUAAUGUGAAUUGCAGAAUUCAGUGAAUCAUCGAAUCUUUGAACGCACCUUGCGCUCCUUGGUAUUCCGAGGAGCAUGCCUGUUUGAGUGUCAUGAAACUCUCACCCUCUAGCUUUCUUAAUCGUGGCUAGCGGCGUGGACGUGAGCGCUGCUGCUUUGUUGCGGCUCGCUCGAAAUGCAUUAGCAGACCCUUUUCGUAAUCGGUUCCACUCAACGUGAUAAGUAUUUCGUUGAGGACAGUUGCAGCAAUGCGGCUGGCCGGGAUAAGAAAGGCAUAGUUGUCAGCUUCUAAUCGCCCUUGGGCAAUUUUUUAUGAUCUGGCCUCAAAUCAGGUAGGACUACCCGCUGAACUUAAGCAUAUCAAUAAGCGGAGGA